RNAcentral lists this ribosomal RNA (1235 nucleotides) under metagenome. RNAcentral describes it as "bacterial LSU rRNA". It matches the Rfam family "Bacterial large subunit ribosomal RNA", at positions 1564 to 2808 of the family's 2925-position model. The record is from RNAcentral.
UGAAUACGAGACGCUAAGGCGUCGAAGUAGUGUAUGUCAUACUUCCAAGAAAAGCUUGCACUGUCAUAAGUAAAAAAUGCCUGUACCAUAACCGACACAGGUGGGUAGGUAGAGUAUACUAAGGGGCGCGAGAUAACUCUCUCUAAGGAACUCGGCAAAAUAACUCCGUAACUUCGGGAGAAGGAGUACCUUAUUCUAUAAGGUUGCAAUAACAAGACCCAAGCAACUGUUUAUCAAAAACACAGGUCUCCGCUAAGUCGUAAGACGAUGUAUGGGGGCUGACGCCUGCCCAGUGCCAGAAGGUUAAAGAAGUCGGUUAGCAUUAGCGAAGCUGGUAACUGAAGCCCUGGUGAACGGCGGCCGUAACUAUAACGGUCCUAAGGUAGCGAAAUUCCUUGUCGGGUAAGUUCCGACCCGCACGAAAGGCGUAAUGAUUUGGAUACUGUCUCGGAGAGGGGCUCGGUGAAAUAGACUUGUCUGUGAAGAUGCGGACUACCUGCACCAGGACAGAAAGACCCUAUGAAGCUUUACUGUAACUUGAAAUUGAAAUUGGACUUUAUUCGCGCAGUAUAGGUGGGAGGUGUUGAUUAUAAUCUUGCGGGAUUAUUGGAGCCAUCAGUGAGAUACCACUCUUGUAAUGUUAGAUUUCUAACUUUGAAUCAUUAUCUGGUCAAAGGACAGUUUCAGGCGGGCAGUUUGACUGGGGCGGUCGCCUCCCAAACGGUAACGGAGGCGUACAAAGGUUUCCUCUGAACGGGUAGAAAUCGUAUCUAGAGUGUAAAGGCAUAAGGAAGCUUGACUGUGAGACCUACAAGUCGAACAGGGACGAAAGUCGGUCUUAGUGAUCUGACGGUACUGAGUGGAAAGGCCGUCACUCAACGGAUAAAAGUUACUCUAGGAUAACAGGCUGAUCUCCCCCAAGAGUUCACAUCGACGGGGAGGUUUGGCACCUCGAUGUCGGCUCAUCGCAUCCUGGGGCGGUAGUACGUCCCAAGGGUUGGGCUGUUCGCCCAUGAAAGCGGUACGCGAGCUGGGUUCAGAACGUCGUGAGACAGUUCGGUCCAUAUCCGGUGUAGGCGUUAGAAUAUUGAGAGGAGCCUUCUUUAGUACGAGAGGACCGAGAAGGACAUACCUCUGGUGUACCAGUUAUCGUGCCAACGGUAAACGCUGGGUAGCUAUGUAUGGAGUGGAUAACCGCUGAAAGCAUCUAAGUGGGAAGCCCACCUCAAGAUAAG